GCACCUGUAGCUCAGUUGGAUAGAGCAACGGUUUCCUAAACCGCAGGCCGGAGGUUCAAGUCCUCUCAGGUGCGCCA
This 77-nucleotide transfer RNA is filed under the name Isachenkonia alkalipeptolytica. RNAcentral describes it as "tRNA-Arg". It matches the Rfam family "tRNA". Rfam says of the family: Transfer RNA (tRNA) molecules are approximately 80 nucleotides in length. Their secondary structure includes four short double-helical elements and three loops (D, anti-codon, and T loops). Lineage: Bacteria; Bacillati; Bacillota; Clostridia; Eubacteriales; Clostridiaceae. The record is from RNAcentral.